This 465-nucleotide ribosomal RNA is filed under the name uncultured bacterium. Its description in RNAcentral is "partial 16S ribosomal RNA". It matches the Rfam family "Bacterial small subunit ribosomal RNA", at positions 28 to 507 of the family's 1533-position model. The record is from RNAcentral.
GAUGAACGCUGGCGGCGUGCUUAACACAUGCAAGUCGAACGGAAAGGCUCCUGCUUGCAGGGGUACUCGAGUGGCGAACGGGUGAGUAACACGUGGGUGAUCUGCCCUGCACUUCGGGAUAAGCCUGGGAAACUGGGUCUAAUACCGGAUAGGACGAUGGUUUGGAUGCCAUUGUGGAAAGUUUUUCGGUGUGGGAUGAGCUCGCGGCCUAUCAGCUUGUUGGUGGGGUAAUGGCCUACCAAGGCGUCGACGGGUAGCCGGCCUGAGAGGGUGUACGGCCACAUUGGGACUGAGAUACGGCCCAGACUCCUACGGGAGGCAGCAGUGGGGAAUAUUGCACAAUGGGCGCAAGCCUGAUGCAGCGACGCCGCGUGGGGGAUGACGGCCUUCGGGUUGUAAACUCCUUUCGCUAGGGACGAAGCGCAAGUGACGUUACCUGGAGAAGAAGCACCGGCUAACUACGUG